UAGACCGCCUGGGGAGUACGGCCGCAAGGUUAAAACUCAAAUGAAUUGACGGGGGCCCGCACAAGCGGUGGAGCAUGUGGUUUAAUUCGAUGCAACGCGAAGAACCUUACCUGGUCUUGACAUCCACAGAAGAAUCCAGAGAUGGAUUUGUGCCUUCGGGAACUGUGAGACAGGUGCUGCAUGGCUGUCGUCAGCUCGUGUUGUGAAAUGUUGGGUUAAGUCCCGCAACGAGCGCAACCCUUAUCCUUUGUUGCCAGCGGUUAGGUCGGGAACUCAAAGGAGACUGCCAGUGAUAAACUGGAGGAAGGUGGGGAUGACGUCAAGUCAUCAUGGCCCUUACGACCAGGGCUACACACGUGCUACAAUGGCGCAUACAAAGAGAAGCGACCUCGCGAGAGCAAGCGGACCUCAUAAAGUGCGUCGUAGUCCGGAUUGGAGUCUGCAACUCGACUCCAUGAAGUCGGAAUCGCUAGUAAUCGUGGAUCAGAAUGCCACGGUGAAUACGUUCCCGGGCCUUGUACACACCGCCCGUCACACCAUGGGAGUGGGUUGCAAAAGAAGUAGGUAGCUUAACCUUCGGGAGGGCGCUUACCACUUUGUGAUUCAUGACUGGGGUGAAGUCGUAACAAGGUAACCGUAGGGGAACCUGCGGUUGGAUCACCUCCUUACCUUAAAGAAGC
RNAcentral lists this ribosomal RNA (680 nucleotides) under Salmonella enterica subsp. enterica serovar Anatum. Its description in RNAcentral is "bacterial SSU rRNA". It matches the Rfam family "Bacterial small subunit ribosomal RNA", at positions 865 to 1533 of the family's 1533-position model. Lineage: Bacteria; Pseudomonadati; Pseudomonadota; Gammaproteobacteria; Enterobacterales; Enterobacteriaceae. The record is from RNAcentral.